This 66-nucleotide transfer RNA is filed under the name unidentified. RNAcentral's name for it is "Epeorus unispinosus tRNA-Tyr". It matches the Rfam family "tRNA". Rfam says of the family: Transfer RNA (tRNA) molecules are approximately 80 nucleotides in length. Their secondary structure includes four short double-helical elements and three loops (D, anti-codon, and T loops). The record is from RNAcentral.
GGUAGAAUGGCUGAGUUUAGGCGAUAGAUUGUAAAUCUAUUUAGGAGGGUAUUCUCUCUUUUGCCA